AGGAUGAACGCUGGCGGCGUGCCUAACACAUGCAAGUCGAACGUCCUGUCUCGCAAGAGGCAGGGAGUGGCGGACGGGUGAGUACCACGUGGGUCAUCUACCGUGAGGUGAGGAAUACCGACGAGAAAUCGCCGACAAGACCGCAUAGGCUCGAUGCAAGUCGAGGCAAAGCUCUUUCGAGAGAGGGAGCGCCACACGAGGAGCCUGCGCCCGAUUAGCUAGCUGGUGGAGUAACGGUUCACCAGGGCGACGAUCGGUAGCUGGUCUGAGAGGACGAUCAGCCACACUGGGAUUGAGAACGGCCCAGACUCCUACGGGGGGCAGCAGUGAGGAAUUUUCGUCAAUGGGGGCAACCCUGAACGAGCAACGCCGCGUGCAGGAAGAAGGUUUUCGGAUCGUAAACUGCUUUUCUCGGGGAAGAGAACGGACGGUACCCGAGGAAUCAGCCCCGGCUAACUACGUGCCAGCAGCCGCGGU
This 477-nucleotide ribosomal RNA is filed under the name uncultured bacterium. Its description in RNAcentral is "SSU rRNA". It matches the Rfam family "Bacterial small subunit ribosomal RNA", at positions 26 to 521 of the family's 1533-position model. The record is from RNAcentral.